This 72-nucleotide transfer RNA is filed under the name Prasinoderma coloniale. Its description in RNAcentral is "tRNA-Trp". It matches the Rfam family "tRNA". From Rfam's summary of the family: Transfer RNA (tRNA) molecules are approximately 80 nucleotides in length. Their secondary structure includes four short double-helical elements and three loops (D, anti-codon, and T loops). Further hydrogen bonds mediate the characteristic L-shaped molecular structure. tRNAs have two regions of fundamental functional importance: the anti-codon, which is responsible for specific mRNA codon recognition, and the 3' end, to which the tRNAs corresponding amino acid is attached (by aminoacyl-tRNA synthetases). tRNAs cope with the degeneracy of the genetic code in two manners: having more than one tRNA (with a specific anti-codon) for a particular amino acid; and 'wobble' base-pairing, i.e. permitting non-standard base-pairing at the 3rd anti-codon position. The record is from RNAcentral. Lineage: Eukaryota; Viridiplantae; Prasinodermophyta; Prasinodermophyceae; Prasinodermales; Prasinodermaceae.
GGAAGGAUAGUUUCAAUGGUAAAAUGGCGGUCUCCAAAACCGGCGUUGGGGGUUCGAGCCCCUCUCCUUCUG